RNAcentral lists this long non-coding RNA (393 nucleotides) under Junco hyemalis (dark-eyed junco). RNAcentral describes it as "lncRNA (ENSJHYG00000011823.1)". Lineage: Eukaryota; Metazoa; Chordata; Aves; Passeriformes; Passerellidae. The record is from RNAcentral.
GGGGUUCAGCUGGACCAGUCUGUGAUACCUGCUGCUAUCAGGGGUGGUGCAAUGCUCACAGCACUCACACAGUACUGGCACUGAGGAAAGCAGGUGCAUUUUGAAGGAAUGAAGUGGGUAAGAUGUACCAUGCCGGUCUUUAAAAUGCCACUUUCAACGGGACACAAAGGAGCCCUUGGCCCCUGUGACAGCUGGGCUCUUAUUUCCAGGGGCACAACUUGUGCUUCUGCUCAUGGGCUACUUACCAACCUGAGGGUGCCAGCUGAGAGCAUGGUAAGGUGUUCUUCCAUGAGGAUGUUGUACAUGGUAACUGCAAGCAUCGAAGACUUUCACUGCACAGAGGAUGUGAGGACUCAACUCAGCGCUGGGAAAACCUCCAAAGGUCUGGAUUGA